GUCCCUGUGGCUCAGUUGGUAGAGCAUGGUGUGUGCAACGCCAGGGUUGUGGGUUCAAUUCCCACGGGGGGCC
This 73-nucleotide transfer RNA is filed under the name Salmo salar (Atlantic salmon). It matches the Rfam family "tRNA". From Rfam's summary of the family: Transfer RNA (tRNA) molecules are approximately 80 nucleotides in length. Their secondary structure includes four short double-helical elements and three loops (D, anti-codon, and T loops). RNAcentral also lists the same sequence under 1 other name. The record is from Rfam by way of RNAcentral. Lineage: Eukaryota; Metazoa; Chordata; Actinopteri; Salmoniformes; Salmonidae.